AACGCACAUUGCGCCCCUUGGUAUUCCGGGGGGCAUGCCUGUUCGAGCGUCAUUAUCACCCCUCAAGCUCAGCUUGGUGUUGGGGCCUGCCCGUCACAGGGCAGCCCUUAAAGGCAGUGGCGGCGCCAUCUGGCUCUCAGCGUAGUAAUACUUCUCGCUACAGAGUCCCGGUGGUGUCCUGCCAGAACCCCCCUUUUUUAUAAUGAUUGACCUCGGAUCAGGUAGGGAUACCCGCUGAACUUAA
This 244-nucleotide unclassified non-coding RNA is filed under the name uncultured fungus. RNAcentral's name for it is "partial contains 5.8S ribosomal RNA, internal transcribed spacer 2, and large subunit ribosomal RNA". The record is from RNAcentral. Lineage: Eukaryota; Fungi.